GUUUAUGCCUUUCAAGAUCAAUCGGAGAUAUGGAUGUAGGAGAAUUCAUUGUUCCAAUACCAUAUGUCAAACAAGUGAAAGUAAUACCUUGCUUUGCUUUGCUUUUCUUACUCUCUUUUAGACCAUCUUAAGAUUUACCUUCCUACCAAAUCCCGAUGUACUAUUUUCUGUUCUAUAUCUGAUGUCUCAGGUAGAGACGAGUAAAU
RNAcentral lists this unclassified non-coding RNA (206 nucleotides) under Hevea brasiliensis (rubber tree). Lineage: Eukaryota; Viridiplantae; Streptophyta; Magnoliopsida; Malpighiales; Euphorbiaceae. The record is from RNAcentral.